GACAGAGGGUGCAAACGUUGUUCGGAAUUACUGGGCGUAAAGCGCGUGUAGGCUGCUCGGAAAGUCGGAUGUGAAAGCCCUGGGCUCAACCUAGGAAGAGCAUUCGAAACUUCUGAGCUUGAGUUUCGGAGAGGAAGGCGGAAUUCUCGGUGUAGAGGUGAAAUUCGUAGAUAUCGAAAGGAACACCGGUGGCGAAGGCGGCCUUCUGGACGAAAACUGACGCUGAGACGCGAAAGCGUGGGGAGCAAACAGG
This 253-nucleotide ribosomal RNA is filed under the name uncultured bacterium. Its description in RNAcentral is "partial 16S ribosomal RNA". It matches the Rfam family "Bacterial small subunit ribosomal RNA", at positions 524 to 776 of the family's 1533-position model. The record is from RNAcentral.